This 64-nucleotide transfer RNA is filed under the name Cavia porcellus (domestic guinea pig). It matches the Rfam family "tRNA". Rfam says of the family: Transfer RNA (tRNA) molecules are approximately 80 nucleotides in length. Their secondary structure includes four short double-helical elements and three loops (D, anti-codon, and T loops). The record is from Rfam by way of RNAcentral. Lineage: Eukaryota; Metazoa; Chordata; Mammalia; Rodentia; Caviidae.
GGGGGUUUAGCUCAGUGGCAUAAGCACCUGCCUUGCAAGCAGGAGGUCGUGAGAUCAAUCCCCA